Molecule: microRNA, 21 nt
Filed under: Vriesea carinata
Lineage: Eukaryota; Viridiplantae; Streptophyta; Magnoliopsida; Poales; Bromeliaceae
Description: vca-miR10210-5p
Source: miRBase by way of RNAcentral
GUUGUCCUAUGUUCCGGCAGA